AAAGUUUGGUGUUGUAGCAACACAAUACCGGAUGAGUAAAGUGGCGUACGGGUGAGUAACACGUGGAUAACCUGCCUCCGAAUGGGGAAUAACCCUGGGAAACCGGGGCUAAUACCGCAUAACAUCUUAGUACUUCGGUAUCGGGAUUGAAACCUUGAAAAGGGGUUUGGAGAGGGGUCCGCGGCUGAUUAGCUAGUUGGUGAGGUAAUGGCCCACCAAGGCUUUGAUCGGUAGCCGGCCUGAGAGGGCGGACGGCCACACUGGAACUGAAACACGGUCCAGACUCCUACGGGAGGCAGCAGUGGGGAAUUUUGCGCAAUGGGGGAAACCCUGACGCAGCAACGCCGCGUGGAUGAUGAAGCCCCUUGGGGUGUAAAAUCCUUUCGGCAGGGACGAAACUAGAGCAAUCUAGCGGACGGUACCUGAAGAAGAAGCCCCGGCUAACUCCGUGCCAGCAGCCGCGGUAAUACGGGGGGGGCGAGCGUUGUUCGGAAUUAUUGGGCGUAAAGGGAGCGUAGGCGGUGCGGUAAGUUUGGUGUGAAACCUCCAGGCUUAACUUGGAGCUGGCAUCGAAUACUGCCGUGCUAGAGUGUGGGAGAGGAGAGUGGAAUUCCCGGUGUAGCGGUGAAAUGCGUAGAUAUCGGGAGGAACAUCGGUGGCGAAGGCGGCUCUCUGGACCACAACUGACGCUGAGGCUCGAAAGCUAGGGGAGCAAACAGGAUUAGAUACCCUGGUAGUCCUAGCUGUAAACGAUGAACACUUGGUAUAGCGGGUAUCGAAUCCCGCUGUGCCGGAGCUAACGCA
Molecule: ribosomal RNA, 804 nt
Filed under: uncultured Pseudomonadota bacterium
Lineage: Bacteria; Pseudomonadati; Pseudomonadota
Description: bacterial SSU rRNA
Rfam family: Bacterial small subunit ribosomal RNA
Source: RNAcentral